ACUAAAAUAGCUCAAAUUUAGAGUUAUGUAUUGAAGCUACAAAGAUGACUUAGGUCUUUUAGUA
This 64-nucleotide transfer RNA is filed under the name Poecilasma litum. RNAcentral describes it as "tRNA-Phe". The record is from RNAcentral. Lineage: Eukaryota; Metazoa; Arthropoda; Thecostraca; Poecilasmatidae.